AGUCACUGACAUUAGAUACCCGUGUAGUCCAGGGUGUAAACGCUGCGGGCUUGGUGUUGGGGGGUCCUUUGAGGGCGCCCAGUGCCGGAGAGAAGUUGUUAAGCCUGCUGCUUGGGGAGUACGUCCGCAAGGAUGAAACUUAAAGGAAUUGGCGGGGGAGCACCGCAACGGGAGGAGCGUGCGGUUCAAUUGGAUUCAACGCCGGACAACUCACCAGGAGCGACGGUUACAUGAAGGCCAGGCUGAUGACCUUGCCUGAUUUUCCG
RNAcentral lists this ribosomal RNA (266 nucleotides) under uncultured archaeon. RNAcentral describes it as "partial 16S ribosomal RNA". It matches the Rfam family "Archaeal small subunit ribosomal RNA", at positions 717 to 982 of the family's 1478-position model. The record is from RNAcentral.